AACGUGUCUAGCAUGGCCAGA
RNAcentral lists this non-coding RNA (21 nucleotides) under Arabidopsis thaliana (thale cress). Lineage: Eukaryota; Viridiplantae; Streptophyta; Magnoliopsida; Brassicales; Brassicaceae. The record is from RNAcentral.